AAAUGAAUUGACGGGGACCCGCACAAGCAGUGGAGCAUGUGGUUUAAUUCGAAGCAACGCGAAGAACCUUACCAGGUCUUGACAUCCCCCUGACCGGCGUAGAGAUACGCCUUUCCUUCGGGACAGGGGUGACAGGUGGUGCAUGGUUGUCGUCAGCUCGUGUCGUGAGAUGUUGGGUUAAGUCCCGCAACGAGCGCAACCCUUGAUUCUAGUUGCCAGCAUUGAGUUGGGCACUCUAGAGUGACUGCCGGUGACAAACCGGAGGAAGGCGGGGAUGACGUCAAAUCAUCAUGCCCCUUAUGACCUGGGCUACACACGUGCUACAAUGGCCGGUACAACGGGCAGCGAAGGAGCGAUCUGGAGCCAAUCCCUUUAAAGCCGGUCUCAGUUCGGAUUGCAGGCUGCAACUCGCCUGCAUGAAGCCGGAAUUGCUAGUAAUCGCGGAUCAGCAUGCCGCGGUGAAUACGUUCCCGGGUCUUGCACACACCGCCCGU
RNAcentral lists this ribosomal RNA (494 nucleotides) under uncultured bacterium. RNAcentral's name for it is "bacterial SSU rRNA". It matches the Rfam family "Bacterial small subunit ribosomal RNA", at positions 903 to 1397 of the family's 1533-position model. The record is from RNAcentral.